Molecule: ribosomal RNA, 236 nt
Filed under: uncultured bacterium
Lineage: Bacteria
Description: partial 16S ribosomal RNA
Rfam family: Bacterial small subunit ribosomal RNA
Source: RNAcentral
UGAGGAACAUGACCUUCGGCGGGGGAUAGCCGGCCCAACGGCCGGGUAAUACCGCGUACGACCACAUGGGGACAUCCCUGAGUGGUGAAAGCAGCAACGCGCCGAUGGAGUGCCUCGCGGCCUAUCAGCUAGUUGGUGAGGUAACGGCUCACCAAGGCAACGGACGGGUAGCUGGUCUGAGAGGACGAUCAGCCACACUGGGACUGAGACACCGGCCCAGACCUCCGUAGGGACGG